GGCGCCAUCGCCAAGCGGCUAAGGCAGUGGUUUGCAAAACCACUAUCGCGGGUUCGAGUCCCGCUGGCGCCUCCA
This 75-nucleotide transfer RNA is filed under the name Planctomycetota bacterium. RNAcentral's name for it is "Planctomycetes bacterium (freshwater metagenome) tRNA-Cys". It matches the Rfam family "tRNA". From Rfam's summary of the family: Transfer RNA (tRNA) molecules are approximately 80 nucleotides in length. Their secondary structure includes four short double-helical elements and three loops (D, anti-codon, and T loops). Lineage: Bacteria; Pseudomonadati; Planctomycetota. The record is from RNAcentral.